Molecule: small nucleolar RNA, 173 nt
Organism: Podarcis raffonei (Aeolian wall lizard)
Lineage: Eukaryota; Metazoa; Chordata; Lepidosauria; Squamata; Lacertidae
Product: small nucleolar RNA SNORA73 family
Exons: 1
Source: RefSeq, a predicted model, not a curated record
CCAAUGGGGGUAUCUAGAGAGGUUGCGUAGGCCUUUGGGCUCUGUGAUGUAUAGUCCUCUUACACGCUGUUGAAGAGCAAGCUGGGCCCUUGUGGUCUGCAACCGGCAUAUUCCUACUGCUUCUCUGAGUCUUCUGGCAGUGACUGAGGAGAUAAACCAUGAAGGAGACAUGU